This 253-nucleotide ribosomal RNA is filed under the name uncultured bacterium. RNAcentral describes it as "partial 16S ribosomal RNA". It matches the Rfam family "Bacterial small subunit ribosomal RNA", at positions 524 to 776 of the family's 1533-position model. The record is from RNAcentral.
UACGAAGGGGGCUAGCGUUGCUCGGAAUCACUGGGCGUAAAGCGCACGUAGGCGGAUCUUUAAGUCAGGGGUGAAAUCCUGGAGCUCAACUCCGGAACUGCCUUUGAUACUGGGGAUCUCGAGUCCGGAAGAGGUGAGUGGAACUCCGAGUGUAGAGGUGAAAUUCGUAGAUAUUCGGAAGAACACCAGUGGCGAAGGCGGCUCACUGGUCCGGUACUGACGCUGAGGUGCGAAAGCGUGGGGAGCAAACAGG